UCGAGGAUCUUCGGCAAUGGGCGAAAGCCUGACCGAGCGAUGCCGCGUGUGCGAUGAAGGCCUUCGGGUUGUAAAGCACUGUCGUGGGGGAGAAAGCCCGCAAGGGUUGAUCGACCCCAGGAGGAAGCACGGGCUAAGUUCGUGCCAGCAGCCGCGGUAAGACGAACCGUGCGAACGUUGUUCGGAAUCACUGGGCUUAAAGGGCGCGUAGGCGGGCCGCAAAGUCAGGGGUGAAAGCCUCCAGCUCAACUGGAGAAGUGCCUCUGAUACUGGCGGCCUCGAGGGAGAUAGGGGCGUGCGGAACUUCCGGUGGAGCGGUGAAAUGCGUAGAUAUCGGAAGGAACACCGGUGGCGAAAGCGGCGCGCUGGAUCUCUUCUGACGCUGAGGCGCGAAAGCCAGGGGAGCGAACGG
RNAcentral lists this ribosomal RNA (412 nucleotides) under uncultured bacterium. RNAcentral describes it as "bacterial SSU rRNA". It matches the Rfam family "Bacterial small subunit ribosomal RNA", at positions 355 to 775 of the family's 1533-position model. The record is from RNAcentral.